UCAUCUUAGAGAACUACUGCCCUGGGAUC
Molecule: non-coding RNA, 29 nt
Filed under: Rattus norvegicus (Norway rat)
Lineage: Eukaryota; Metazoa; Chordata; Mammalia; Rodentia; Muridae
Source: RNAcentral